Molecule: long non-coding RNA, 626 nt
Organism: Coregonus clupeaformis (lake whitefish)
Lineage: Eukaryota; Metazoa; Chordata; Actinopteri; Salmoniformes; Salmonidae
Exons: 2
Source: RefSeq, a predicted model, not a curated record
UGAGAGGGAGGAUUGGAGAAGUGCACGAGGAGGGGUGGGAAGCAGAGAAGACGGAGCAUGGUUGAAAUUCCACCAAAUGGAUAAGAAGAGGCAGACAAAGUUUGACACAUUUAUGUUUUCAGUGGUUGACCGACACGAAUGAACGAGUAAACCUUGUUUUAGCCUAGUGAAGUAUCACAAAUUAAAACCUCAGUAUUAAUUAUCCACUGCACGGAAUCUCCAUGAGGGCACAAGUCUGCAUGACGAUUUUCGCGUAAAGAGAGGCAGCGCGGGAGAGCUGACUUGUCGCCUGGCAGGUUGAAGGACAUCCCACUCUGACACCCUGCAGAUGUAAAUAACUUGUUGUGAAACUCCCAGCCACCAGGAUAAUCACCAUAUCCCAGGAUAUUAUUCAGGAGUGUUCAACAUCACAAUGUUAGAUAAAAAUGUAUUUGCCCAUGUUAUUGUUUAUCAUCCAGAUUUGUCAGGACAUUGUAAUUUAUGAAGCUCAUUCUAAAAUACAGACGUGAUUUCUGUCCCAGGGGAUUGCACUGUGUGCAAGUCUUCAAUUUAAACCACAAUUAGUUGAAUUAGGUGAUAGUGAAGGGCUGGAACAAAAACCUGUAAACUUCUGUCCUGUGUAUAAA